RNAcentral lists this ribosomal RNA (425 nucleotides) under uncultured bacterium. Its description in RNAcentral is "bacterial SSU rRNA". It matches the Rfam family "Bacterial small subunit ribosomal RNA", at positions 354 to 772 of the family's 1533-position model. The record is from RNAcentral.
GUGGGGAAUAUUGGACAAUGGGCGAAAGCCUGAUCCAGCAAUGCCGCGUGAGUGAGGAAGGCCUUAGGGUUGUAAAGCCCUGUGGGGAGGGACGAAUAAGUUGCGGCUAAUACCCGCAGCGAUGACGGUACCUCCUUAGCAAGCACCGGCUAACUCUGUGCCAGCAGCCGCGGUAAGACAGAGGUGCCAAGCGUUAGGCGGAAUCACUGGGCUUAAAGCGUGUGUAGGCGGAAGCGUAAGUGCCUUGUGAAAUCCCACGGCUUAACCGUGGAACUGCUGGGCAUACUGCGUUUCUUGAGCCAAUCAGGGGUCGUCGGAACAAACGGUGGAGCGGUGAAAUGUGUAGAUAUCGUUUGGAACGCCAAAGGCGAAAGCAGACGACUGGGAUUGAGCUGACGCUGAGACACGAAAGCCAGGGGAUCGAA